Molecule: ribosomal RNA, 490 nt
Filed under: uncultured bacterium
Lineage: Bacteria
Description: partial 16S ribosomal RNA
Rfam family: Bacterial small subunit ribosomal RNA
Source: RNAcentral
AUUGAACGCUGGCGGCAGGCCUAACACAUGCGAGUCGAACGGUAACAGGAAACAGCUUGCUGUUUCGCUGACGAGUGGCGGACGGGUGAGUAAUGUCUGGGAAACUGCCUGAUGGAGGGGGAUAACUACUGGAAACGGUAGCUAAUACCGCAUAACGUCGCAAGACCAAAGAGGGGGACCUUCGGGCCUCUUGCCAUCGGAUGUGCCCAGAUGGGAUUAGCUAGUAGGUGGGGUAACGGCUCACCUAGGCGACGAUCCCUAGCUGGUCUGAGAGGAUGACCAGCCACACUGGAACUGAGACACGGUCCAGACUCCUACGGGAGGCAGCAGUGGGGAAUAUUGCACAAUGGGCGCAAGCCUGAUGCAGCCAUGCCGCGUGUAUGAAGAAGGCCUUCGAGUUGUAAAGUACUUUCAGCGGGGAGGAAGGGAGUAAAGUUAAUACCUUUACUCAUUGACGUUACCCGCAGAAGAAGCACCGGCUAACUCCGUG